UGGGGAAUUUUGGACAAUGGGCGAAAGCCUGAUCCAGCAAUGCCGCGUGUGUGAAGAAGGCCUUCGGGUUGUAAAGCACUUUUGUCCGGAAAGAAAUCCUUGGCUCUAAUACAGUCGGGGGAUGACGGUACCGGAAGAAUAAGCACCGGCUAACUACGUGCCAGCAGCCGCGGUAAUACGUAGGGUGCAAGCGUUAAUCGGAAUUACUGGGCGCAAAGCGUGCGCAGGCGGUUUGCUAAGACCGAUGUGAAAUCCCCGGGCUCAACCUGGGAACUGCAUUGGUGACUGGCAGGCUAGAGUAUGGCAGAGGGGGGUAGAAUUCCACGUGUAGCAGUGAAAUGCGUAGAGAUGUGGAGGAAUACCGAUGGCGAAGGCAGCCCCCUGGGCCAAUACUGACGCUCAUGCACGAAAGCGUGGGGGAGCAAAACAGGAUUAGAUACCCCUGGUAGUCCACGCCCUAAACGAUGUCAACUAGUUGUUGGGGAUUCAUUUCCUUAGUAACGUAGCUAACGCGUGAAGUUGACCGCCUGGGGAGUACGGUCGCAAGAUUAAAACUCAAAUGAAUUGACGGGGUCAUAGCUGUUU
RNAcentral lists this ribosomal RNA (585 nucleotides) under uncultured bacterium. RNAcentral's name for it is "partial 16S ribosomal RNA". It matches the Rfam family "Bacterial small subunit ribosomal RNA", at positions 355 to 935 of the family's 1533-position model. The record is from RNAcentral.